Lynx canadensis (Canada lynx) is the source of this 1652-nucleotide long non-coding RNA. RefSeq lists it as uncharacterized. The record is from RefSeq and is a predicted model, not a curated record. The transcript has 4 exons. NCBI's taxonomy places the organism in Eukaryota, Metazoa, Chordata, Mammalia, Carnivora, Felidae.
GAAGGAAGGAAGGAAGGAAGGAAGGAAGGAAGGAAGAAACGCCUGGCAUGGUGCAGCCUUAACGCAUACUUCUUGAGGUCCUUCAAUGAACUGGGGUUCUAAUUACUGAGCAUUAUGAAAAAACAGAGAAGGAAAUGAUACUAACCUAUCUCUGCAAAGACACGGGAGCAGCACCCCAGGGAAAAGGGCAGUUAGCCUCUUGGUGCCGUGUUAAUGGCUCCCCAGGAUCACAGCUUCCCCAUGAGGGCGCCCAGUCUUCCCAGGGUGAAGGGCUCCUGGAAGAGAGGGCUCAGGGAACCUGCUGCAUAUGCACUACCAGUUACAAUAACCUCAGUUAGUGAUAAAGUAGGGUGAUAAUUUCUAUUAUUCUAGCGGCAGAGGGCAGACUUCCUCAAGAUGGGCCACUGUGGCCCGAAGAUUAUUCUGAGUUGAAGGCAAUAGAGACCCUAGGGGACUCGAGAGAAACUUUUGCCCCUCCCUAAACUACAUAAUUGGGGAUCUUUCUCAGAAUAAGGGUUAUUAGCUGAGAUAAACGUUAUCUGAGUGACCCAUCUGUCUGGCAGGUCAGACUUCUAAUUACCAAACAGAUGCUUCUUACUGCCCUGUGAAGAAGUGCGCUUCUUUCCUCUAAAGUCCCAGACCACUGCCCCCUUCUCCUUGGUACAGAAUGACACAUAUACUUGAUUUCGCCUGACUCUGGAAUUUCCAUGUCUGUGUGGAUUCUCCAUACAAACACUAUUAAACUCAGUUUUCUGCUAUUAACCUGUCAAUCUGCUCCUUAGUCCAGUUAGACGCACCUUGAGGGGACAGGAAUUCUUGCUCCCUGACCUCUGGCAUAGUCAGUAGGACACUUUAACUCGCUGGGCAUAGCUCACUCUGAUACUGCUGCAGCUGAGGGACCCUGGGGCAUCUGACAUAGAGCCAGCAGAAGAUUUAAGAAAAAUGUUCAUCUUAAGCUAACUGAUUUACACCAAUUAGAUAAAAUAUACCUUGUGGACAAAUGGAAACAUUUAUCUUUUCUCUCUACCUGAACCCUCUAGAAUUCAGAAACUCUCAGAAAUACUGAAAAUGGAUGAAAGGCCUUUCUUAGUGCCCUGGAGGACAUGUAAGAAUCCUAGGAUAGCAGGGAGUGGAGUUAAACCAGUCAGUCUGGAAUUUUUUGUUCAGCCAGUGAAGUCAUCUUCGUGAAGAGAUCUCCUGCUUCUCCCCCCUAGAGAAGGUGACCUCGCCUGAAACCCAUCCUUUCUUUUCUUUUGCUAAUAACUUCCUUGCCCCACCCUCUUUUCUGCAGAACUACUGUAUACAACUCCUCAGACUUUUCUAGGUGGGACGUUGCUCAAUUCAGGAAUCAUUGAAUAAAGCCAAUGCGAUCUUCAAAUGUACUCAGAUGAAUUUUUAUUAUUUAAUAGGCUUAAACUAUGUAUUUAAAGGUUUCAAUAGAGGAUCCAGAUAACUGAGAAACAACAGAUUCUUUAGGGGCACAUGGCUUGUUUGUAAGGACCUUGGGUCUCGAUGGGGAACCGUGUCAAGGAGUCCUGAUCACAUCCUGUUUGCCUGAGGUCACCUUGAUGUGCCAAAGUAGAAGGACAAAGUCUUUGUCCCUGUAGCAACAGAUGUGUGUCACUGUGGAGUCACGACAGCCAGCCCCCAUA